RNAcentral lists this ribosomal RNA (492 nucleotides) under uncultured bacterium. RNAcentral's name for it is "partial 16S ribosomal RNA". It matches the Rfam family "Bacterial small subunit ribosomal RNA", at positions 29 to 507 of the family's 1533-position model. The record is from RNAcentral.
AGUGAACGCUGGCGGUAGGCCUAACGCAUGCAAGUCGAACGGCAGCACAGUAAGAGCUUGCUCUUACGGGUGGCGAGUGGCGGACGGGUGAGGAAUACAUCGGAAUCUACUUUUUCGUGGGGGAUAACGUAGGGAAACUUACGCUAAUACCGCAUACGACCUACGGGUGAAAGCAGGGGAUCUUCGGACCUUGCGCGAUUGAAUGAGCCGAUGUCGGAUUAGCUAGUUGGCGGGGUAAAGGCCCACCAAGGCGACGAUCCGUAGCUGGUCUGAGAGGAUGAUCAGCCACACUGGAACUGAGACACGGUCCAGACUCCUACGGGAGGGAGCAGUGGGGAAUAUUGGACAAUGGGCGCAAGCCUGAUCCAGCCAUACCGCGUGGGUGAAGAAGGCCUUCGGGUUGUAAAGCCCUUUUGUUGGGAAAGAAAAGCAGCAGGUUAAUACCCCGCUGUUCUGACGGUACCCAAAGAAUAAGCACCGGCUAACUUCGUG